RNAcentral lists this ribosomal RNA (421 nucleotides) under uncultured bacterium. RNAcentral's name for it is "partial 16S ribosomal RNA". It matches the Rfam family "Bacterial small subunit ribosomal RNA", at positions 359 to 773 of the family's 1533-position model. The record is from RNAcentral.
UAUAUCCGACAAUGGGCGAAAGCCUGUUCCAGCCAUGCCGCGAGGGUGAAGAAGGCCCUUGGGUUGUAAAGCCCUUUUUGUGGGAAAGAAAUCUUUCCGGUUAAUACCCGGAGAGGAUGACGGUACCCAAAGAAUACGCAUCGGCGCACUUCGUGCCAGCAGCCGCGGUAAUACGAAGGGUGCAAGCGUUACUUGGAAUUACCGGGCGUAAAGCGUGCGUAGGUGGUUCGUUAAGUCAGAUGUGAAAGCCCCGGGCUCAACCUGGGAAUUGCAUUGGAUACUGGCGGGCUAGAGUACGGUAGAGGGUGGCGGAAUUCCUGGUGUAGCAGUGAAAUGCGUAGAGAUCAGGAGGAACAUCCGUGGAGAAGGCGGCCACCUGGACCAGUACUGACACUGAGGCACGAAAGCGUGGGGAGCAAAC